Molecule: non-coding RNA, 779 nt
Organism: Cinara cedri
Lineage: Eukaryota; Metazoa; Arthropoda; Insecta; Hemiptera; Aphididae
Source: the annotation of a GenBank genome assembly
UAAUAUAUAUUAUCAUUACGUAUUAAAUAGUAAAGCGAAUAAAAUCAAGUAUUGUUUUUUCGUUACGAUCGUGUUCGGCGAUUGAUAAAAUACCGUCAUCGCGACAACGAUGAAAUUGUCGACAGACGCGUUGUCGUGUCGUUCCGGCACCGUGCGUAUACAAUCGUUUUUUUUUUUUUUUUUUUUUAAUCAAUCGCAGACCGCGGCGGACGCGUCGGGCGACGGUCUCGGGAAUAGACGACGGGACAUCGUCCGAUCGGUAAAUAACGGAGAGUAAAAAAAAAAUAAAAAAAACAAAAACAAAUUGCGAUGUUAUGCGAUAAAAAGAUUCGGAAUUCCGUGCGCCCGUUUUCUUAACCCCCCGUCGAUUCGUGGCCCCGGUCGGCGGGGAAACAAAUCCCGGUGACGGACGUACGUCGGUAAGAGACGAAUCGCCGGACAGUGACGACGGAUGAACGAGAACGCUCGUGCGGAUAAGGGCGAAACACGAGAGGGAGUGACAGAGGAGGGGAAAAAAUCCGACGAAAAUCACGGUGACGCAGUCGAACGAGAAAAUCGAGUUCCGGAGCGGAAUCGAACGUCGCGCGCGCGGGGUUCGAGACGGAAUCGUGCGGGGGUGUAAACUGACGACGACCGCGAGAAGGGUCGGCGGAGAAGAAAAAACCAAAAAAAAAAAAUUACACAAACGACGAGAGUACGACAAUAACGGCCGCGUUCAUUAUUAUUGUUUUUUUCCCCGGAGGAGUUAUUCCGCGAAACACGGUUAUCGAUAUUAUAUU